This 1351-nucleotide long non-coding RNA is filed under the name Oncorhynchus mykiss (rainbow trout). RNAcentral describes it as "lncRNA (ENSOMYG00000059022.1)". The record is from RNAcentral. Lineage: Eukaryota; Metazoa; Chordata; Actinopteri; Salmoniformes; Salmonidae.
GGUUGAAUCCAGCCACUUCAGUCACUCUUUCCAAGAGUAUCAGACUAUUUGCUUAGUUAAAUCCACUGGCUAUUUUACAUAGCUUUUACAUGAAUCUCGGCAGCCAGAACCAAAUCAGCUACUCAAUGUUAAGGCUGUCACGAGACUUCUUUUCCAUAACAGUUUGCAUUCAAUAUCUAUUUUCUCUAUCAGAAAAUCCUAAUAUCAUCUUGUUUCUUAUACAUCUCCAUAAAAGGGUUUCUAAAACAGACAAACACCUUCUUUACCCUUUUACAUCUUUUCAGUGGCUAUGCGGCUCCCAACAGUGUUGGCACUAUUUCUGGGUAAGAAUUGUAUUAUCUUUUCCCCAACAUCUUUAAAGUAAAAACAGCACAUCAUUUAGACCAUGUAUACUGACCACAGUAUGUUGAUAUUGUUACCUUGCUCUACUGUGACACAUAUCCAUGUUUUUAUAUCUCACUAUCUAUGUAGUUAUGCAUGUGUAACAGAUUCAACAUACACAUGACCUUUUGGGGUCUUUCUUGUUCAAUUUAUGGUAUUGGAAUGUUUAGACUGUUUUCUUUGCCCAGGUGCAGCACCUGACCUCUUCUUCAGCCUGCACUUCCGUGACAUCAGAGCAGUCGAACCAUGUGAGUUUACAUGCUUAUAUGCUAUAAAAGACGUGUCCUUCAUGGUUUAGUGUAAAUAAUAUAAUAUUGUAAUAUUGAGCACGAACAAGGCCAUUUCUGUCAUUUCUUGGUAGUCUAUCUUUUUAAUAAUUUAUUCGUAAUCCCAAUAAACCACAUUUGCCACUAUUCAACAGCUCACUGCUCAAAGGGAUUCAUGGUUGACAAAGACUUUUACAUGAACAACAUUCUGAUGGUAUAUGAACAGGACCUACAUCAUUGCCAGCUUGCCUGCACUCAGAACCCCGGGUGUUCCUACUUCAGCUACGUGGUUAAAGAGUCCACCAGUAGAGCUACCAGUGUUUACUCUGGUUAGUGAGGAGAGGAGCAUGGCUGAAGCCCAGAAGUUCUGCAGGGAGUACUAUGAGGAACUGGCCACCAUCUUCAAUGCUGAGGACCAGAUAGUAGCUCUGAGAGCAGUGUCAGCACAGAGCCUCACUGACGCAGUCUGGGUCCACUCCCAAUACCGUGCCUUUUGGCCCCAACUGGCCUAUUGGAAUACACCAAAUGCAAAGUGUGUUGUUCAUGGACAUACAGCAAAAGUUUGGAUUUUGAGAUAUUGCACAAUUUCAUGUCACUUUGUGUGCCAGAAAAGUAAGUGGAUUUUGCAUCCCUUCUCUCCCUUGUCUGAUAUUUGUAAACUACUACUCCAAAGUAACAUUAACACUUUAAUUGAAGGGGGUUAG